GCUGACGGCGCCCCCUCAGUCCUCCUGCUGUCAUGCAUCAGCACACACAGCUCUGCAAGGGCCAGCGCUGCGAGCAGAGAAGUUUCCAUUGUCUGCCGGCUGGAGGUGGGGCCCUCCGCCCACGGCUGAGCAUCACAGAGGUCAGAGCAGAUGCUGACACUCAGAGCAGAGAGGCCUGCAGCAUCUCCGGCUGACCUGGAGAAGCAGAGAUCAGAGGGAAGAGUCGCUCCUUGCCCCCGGAGCCCACGGAGCGGAGCCUGCCGCGGAGCCACGAGGCAUGGCUAGAGCCGGGGCUUGGGGUCUCGCAGUGCUUGGCUCUCUGAGCCUCUGCCUCUGGGGCUGUCUCCCUACUCCUGACGUUUUUCUCAGCAAGUCCCCCACUGCCCAGGAGGUCUCUGCUGUGGUGAGAUGCCUGGUUCCCUAUGACCCGCUGGUGAUUCGGGUUACUUUCUGUAAGGCCAAGGAGGAACUGUCCAGCCAAAAAGCCACAUGAGGCAAACUCACCUACGAGUUAGCCCAGGAAGUGUCCGUCCAGGAGGCAGGACAGAUUUUCUGUGGGUAUCAGCAUAAGGACGACCACAGCCGAGUGACCAGUUCCUUUCUCAGCAUCCCGUGGGACCGGUGCAAACCAGACUCCAAUGUUACCAGCGAGGGGUCGGGCUGGGAAUGACAAUUCCUGUCUUCCUGCUGCUGGUGCUGGUCCUGACAGGUUACCUGCUGCUGAGAAAAGGGACGAGAUCUGCAAUGUUCUUUAUGCUCAGGGAUUCCCAGACUGGAUUUUGCCUCGUGAUCACAUCCGUAACCAAUGGUGAGAUCGCUCCAGAGCAUCGGGCCCGAUCUUGUGGCAGAUUCUGAUCUGUUCCUGGGCCAGAUCCCCAGCUGGCAUCAGUCACCAGAGCUCCAUCGGUUUACAUGGACAUGGCCACCAUGCUGUUUUGCAUUAGGCAGACGCCUGCCUUGCUGGGGACAAGGAGCGUUUGGUGUCCAGGCAGUCGCACCUGGUUCUUUCAAGCACAUGGGCAAAUGGAAACAUUUCCCACCACUUCUCUUCACUUCCUUCUCUCUGUCUCCCCCUCCUGGUUGUUUUAUGUAGCUGCUUCCAUGCCUCUAGAUGUCCCUCUAUGCUAUGGGGUGCAAUUCCCCCUCUGCAGAGGCAGCACGAGGCCCAGGCACCCUAUUUUGCAGGUUUAGUGGGAGGUCAGUGGGGCCUGGGUGUUGUGCUAGCCCCUCUGUGCGGUGGUGGCGGCGGUUGGAGAACCCCAGCCCCUGGGAAUGGCUCAGACACUCCUGCGGCAGGUGACGUCCCGUUGUUUUCACCCCGCAGCAUCCCCAGCCGCCAGGAGAGGAGGGGCUGUGCAUGCAGCCGGCUGCCAGUGCCCUGGUGCAGCUGGCCGAUUCAGAGAUCUACGGGCCUCAGACAGAGCGAGAACCCCAAGUGCAGAGAGGCACCUUCCUCCGGCCUGUCAGUCUGGCGAUGUGGACCCAGAUCAAUGCGGGGUCAGUCUCAGUCCCGGUGUGACUCCAGCCCUAGGCGCCUCAGCCACUGGAUACGUCUACACUGUGAUCAGAAACCCGCUGCACCGAAUUGUAGAGCCCGGCUCAGCUGACCUGGGUUCCAGGGCUAUAGAAUCGCAGUAUAAAUGUUCAGGCUUCGGCUGGAGCCCAGGCUCUCUGGCCCUCCCUCCUUGCGGGGUCCCAGAGCCAGGGCUCCAGAUCGAGCCUGAACGUCUACACUGCAAUUCUACAGCCCCGCAGCCCAAGUUGGCUGAGCUGGGCCAGCCGCGGCCGUGCCAGGGAUCUCGUUUGCAGUGUGGAUGUACCCUUAGAGCCAGGCUUUCAAAGGGAUUUCAGUGUGUAGGGAAGCAGAGAGGCCCCACGGGGAUUUUUAAGGACCCAGGGAGGUCCGGCGCCUCAGUCCCAUUGACACCGAUGGCUGUCGGGGCUGUGUGAGGGCUUUGGGAAGUGGCUCAGGUGCCGAUCUGCUUCUUUGGGAGCCCAAAUCCCUUAGCACACCUGGCCCUGAGCAACUCACUCCCUCCUCAGGAGGCAUGGGGGCGGGGGCGGGGAGCUGCAUCGACUCUGACAGCACUGAGCGCUCUCUGAGAGGUAGGUAUAUGCGGAUUGGCCUGAUCCUGGCUGGGUGCUGCUGUGAUACGGGAAAUAAUAAAUGGAUUGUCCCCACUUGGGAAAGAUCAGUGCCCCCCACAUCACCCCAGGGUGCUUGUGGGGAAUGCAGACCCCUCCAGUGUCACCCCAGGGCAGAUCUGUUGAAUGCAGGCCCCUCACAGUGUCACCCUGGGGCAGUCGUGGGGAAUGCAGACUCCCCUCCCCCCCCCCCCCCCCAAUGUCACCCUGGGGCAGUCAUGGUGGAUGCAGACGUGCCUUUCAGAUGAUUGUUUCAGCUUUACAAACGUUCGCUGCAGCUUUGUGACCUGCAAGCAGGAAAGCUUCCAAGACCAGCAUAUUGAGAUGGGCCCGUAGACUGUUCAGAGCCCUGUGCAUCCAUGUCUGUCACAUGCAGCUGGGUGUUCCUGGCUCGCUGGCUGGGUUCCCUGCAGACGCUGGGAUAUCUAGGGGGUGAUUAAUGCACAGUCUCAAGAGCGGCUACAUUUUAAUCAAGGGGGAAACCCCUGCUAGGGGUCGGAAGGACUUAGAACCGCAGGACCCCCAUACAGAAGACGGGUGACAUCUGGUGCGUGUCGCAUCUGCUGAGCCCUUUUAUUGUUUUAUAAGUUGUCUCCAUACGGCUUUUGUCCUAAAAUAAAUGCCCUGCGCUCUGUGUAAAGCUGGCUACUCACGGGCGACCCUGCCACUGUCUCUGGAGAAAUAGUGAAGCUGCAGGGGCUGAGCAAAGGAGAAACCUGAUGAAGUGCAAGGUGGCUGCAGCCCAAACCCCGGCUGGGGGAGAGGGACGUGGGUCCCUGCUGGAGGCCUAAGGGGUGGCCUUGAGCUGACAACGGAGUGGUCGGAGGUAUAAUUACGCCCAGGCAGCGACAUACGGACACACACUGAGCCAAGAGGGGCCUUACACCCAACGGAGAGACAUGGUCGAAAAUGCAGAUUAUUUUAUGAGGGAUUUUUUUAAAAAUUCAUUUUCUUCUAAACAUCCCAUGAACAUUUGUCAGUUCUCAGAUGAAAACUCAAGAGUGACAAUGAUGAUACAGUCGGGUUUCAAACCCUGAUGGAUUUCUGAAAAAAAAAAAUUGUGGCGAGAAAUCUGUUUUCAAAAAACUCUUUUUGCCCAAAAAGGUUUGGAGUGCAGGGAAAGUUGUUGUUUUCUUUAACCGCCUGCUUUUUUUUUUUUUUACCAACCCCCUAAUUUUUUUCCAGCAAUUAUUUUUUGAUUUUUGGUUUCUGGUUUUUCACCCCAAAAUGGAAAAUUUUCACUGGAUUACAAUGUUUUUUUUGAUCAAAAAUGCCAUUUUUUCAUGUACAAAAUGUUUCGAUGAAAGAAUUUCUACCAGUUCUGCCAAAGCAUCUCCGGUUCUGUCCAGUCAUGGCUGACGAUCCGGCCAGGGGCCGGCUUCCCUCUACCCAGGUCUCCUUUGAAACACCCAGCACCCCGUGGCCACUUUGCAGCCGUUUCCAUGCCCCCUCCCCUCUGGGUUCCCCUCUGUGCUGGGCGAGAGUGUUACUGACCCAGACAUGAGGGAAGUGCCAAUGUUUUCUGUCUGAUCCGCCCCACAGAAUCCACUCAACUGUCCCCCUUCACACUGUUCUGGGCCUUUUCCUCACACUGAGCAUGGAUCUGUUUAUUCAUUGUCCGAUCUAUUGCGCUCAGCGCACGCACAAUGUCAGGCCAAACAUAGCGCUGGCACAUCCUCCUACACAUGGGGACACGCAACAGGAUAAUAGCCUAUGUCAAGGUUCCUUCCCCACUCUGAAUAUCUGGGUACAGAUGUGGGGACGUGCAUGAAAAACCCCCUAAGCUUAUUUUUACCAGCUUAGGUUAAAACUUCCCCAAGGUACAAACUAUUUUACCUUUUGUCCCUGGACCUUAUUGCUGCCACCACCAAGCGUCUAACAAAUAUAACAGGGAAAGAGCCAACUUGGAAACGACUUUCCCCCCAAAAUCCCCCCAGGCCCUACACCCCCUUUCCUGGAGAAGGCUUGAUAAAAAUCCUCACCAAUUUGCAUAGGUGAACACAGACCCAAACCCUUGGAUCUUAAGAACAAUGAAAAAGCAAUCAGGUUCUUAAAAGAAGAAUUUUAAUUAAAGAAAAAAUUAAAAGAAUCACCUCUGUAAAAUCAGGAUGGUAAAUGCCUUACAGGCUAUUCAGAUUCAAAACAUAGAGAAUCCCUCUAGGCAAAACCUUA
RNA transcript from Chelonia mydas (Green sea turtle), 4317 nucleotides. RefSeq lists it as uncharacterized. The transcript has 4 exons. The record is from RefSeq and is a predicted model, not a curated record. Lineage: Eukaryota; Metazoa; Chordata; Testudines; Cheloniidae.